Molecule: ribosomal RNA, 305 nt
Filed under: uncultured bacterium
Lineage: Bacteria
Description: bacterial SSU rRNA
Rfam family: Bacterial small subunit ribosomal RNA
Source: RNAcentral
AGUUGCCUCGGGACGCAGCAGUGAGGAAUAUUGGUCAAUGGGCGGGAGCCUGAACCAGCCAAGCCGCGUGAGGGAAGAAGGUACAGCGUAUCGUAAACCUCUUUUGUCAGGGAACAAAGGCGGGGACUAGUCCCCGGAUGAGGGUACCUGAAGAAAAAGCAUCGGCUAACUCCGUGCCAGCAGCCGCGGCAAUACGGAGGAUGCGAGCGUUAUCCGGAUUUAUUGGGUUUAAAGGGUGCGCAGGCGGCCUGUUAAGUCAGCGGUAAAAGCCCGGGGCUCAACCCCGGCGAGCCGUUGAAACUGGG